This 506-nucleotide ribosomal RNA is filed under the name uncultured bacterium. Its description in RNAcentral is "partial 16S ribosomal RNA". It matches the Rfam family "Bacterial small subunit ribosomal RNA", at positions 30 to 523 of the family's 1533-position model. The record is from RNAcentral.
ACUGAACGCUGGCGGCAGGCCUAACACAUGCAAGUCGAACGGCAGCACAGAAGAGCUUGCUCUUUGGGUGGCGAGUGGCGGACGGGUGAGUAAUGUCUGGGAAACUGCCCGAUGGAGGGGGAUAACUACUGGAAACGGUAGCUAAUACCGCAUAACGUCGCGAGACCAAAGUGGGGGACCUUCGGGCCUCACACCAUCGAAUGUGCCCAGAUGGGAUUAGCUAGUAGGGGGGGUAAUGGCUCACCUAGGCGACGAUCCCUAGCUUGUCUGAGAGGAUAACCAGCCACACUGGAACUGAGACACGGUCCAGCCUCCUACGGGAGGCAGCAGUGGGGAAUAUUGCACAAUGGGCGCAAGCCUGAUGCAGCCAUGCCGCGUGUAUGAAGAAGGCCUUCGGGUUGUAAAGUACUUUCAGCGGGGAGGAAGGCGGUGAGGUUAAUAACCUCGCCGAUUGACGUUACCCGCAGAAGAAGCACCGGCUAACUCCGUGCCAGCAGCCGCCGUAA